RNAcentral lists this small nuclear RNA (18 nucleotides) under Arabidopsis thaliana (thale cress). Its description in RNAcentral is "snRNA_17049". Lineage: Eukaryota; Viridiplantae; Streptophyta; Magnoliopsida; Brassicales; Brassicaceae. The record is from RNAcentral.
GGGUUGAGUUGAGUUGGG